Long non-coding RNA from Hyla sarda, 373 nucleotides. RefSeq lists it as uncharacterized. The record is from RefSeq and is a predicted model, not a curated record. Lineage: Eukaryota; Metazoa; Chordata; Amphibia; Anura; Hylidae. The transcript has 3 exons.
UUCUAGAAGUGAUAAAAUGGAGUUCAACUGCUCCAGGCUCUCCACAGGCAUUGUAAGUUGCAGCCAUGCUUUCUCUUGGAAUUGUACAGCAUGUAGAAGUUCUUCCUGAAAGGAAUAUAGGACCAACCCACAGUUAGACAUGCAGUGACUUAUCAUCUCUGAAGGAAGGUGGAGAACUAAUGGACUAAAGCUCUUUCAUGCAUUGAGGAGUGAUAUAUAGACUCAUAAAAGCACUGCUUUAGAUGCCGCUUGGGUAGAACUAUUCUCACAUUUCUCAGAUGGGGCAAGGAGCACGGAGGAGUCUUGCAUUAAUAUCUGGAAUAAGACAGCACAUAUGAGAUACAGUGGCAGUAAUACUAUACAGACCUGUUGU